GACGAACGCUGGCGGCGUGCUUAACACAUGCAAGUCGAGCGGUAAGGCCCUUUCGGGGGUACACGAGCGGCGAACGGGUGAGUAACACGUGGGUGACCUGCCUCUAGCUCUGGGAUAAGCCCGGGAAACUGGGUCUAAUACUGGAUAUGACUCCAUGACGCAUGUUGUGGGGUGGAAAGCCUUGUGCGGCUAGAGAUGGGCCCGCGGCCUAUCAGCUUGUUGGUGGGGGAUGGCCUACCAAGGCGACGACGGGUAGCCGGCCUGAGAGGGCGACCGGCCACACUGGGACUGAGACACGGCCCAGACUCCUACGGGAGGCAGCAGUGGGGAAUCUUGCGCAAUGGGACGAAAGCCUGACGCAGCGACGCCGCGUGAGGAUGAC
RNAcentral lists this ribosomal RNA (382 nucleotides) under uncultured bacterium. RNAcentral describes it as "bacterial SSU rRNA". It matches the Rfam family "Bacterial small subunit ribosomal RNA", at positions 28 to 412 of the family's 1533-position model. The record is from RNAcentral.